Molecule: long non-coding RNA, 1124 nt
Organism: Hylaeus volcanicus
Lineage: Eukaryota; Metazoa; Arthropoda; Insecta; Hymenoptera; Colletidae
Exons: 3
Source: RefSeq, a predicted model, not a curated record
CUAAGACGAGCCACACGAUUCUUGGAAUGAAAUAAUUGCAUUUCCAUUAAACUAAGUCUCAAUGUCAUAAUUAUUGCAUUUUACGCAAACUUAUUCUAUCCCCUAAUAUAUGCGUAAUAAUAUAUCCUAAGUUUAUUAAACUCUGUAACAAUCUCACAUCGACAUUAUCUCGAUUAGUUUGAAGCGAUUUGAAGUUUCGAACAGUUAUCAUUAGAGUGUGACAAUAAUGUGAAACGAAAGAAGCAGCAAGAGCUUCAUAGUGAGCUAUAAUAUUAACGAAUAUAUGAGACCUGUGAUUGUUGUAUAAAAGUGUUGUAUUUAUUCAGAGCGAAUUGUCGUAAAGGUUAUUUACUACGACGUUUAAGUACAGCUAUUUUUUUUAUAGUAAAAGAUGUGGAUUUACUCCCUGCUCGCUAUUUUCGCGACGUUUGAUUUUGCGACGGCUUCGUCAGGGUUUGAUUUCGGAGAUACCUUGGCACUGAUUCUCGGAUUGAUCAUCGGAAUUGUUGGAUUUUUUGCUUGCAUGGGUGCUUAUGCACGACGUCGAAACCUUUUGCAACCAUUAUGAUUGCAUGCCUCUCCGGAAUUCGUCACAUAGAUAUCUGACACAUUUAAAGUUAAGGAAGAAAAUGCUUCAAAUGACUGGAGUUGAGUAAUUUAAAGUUUUACAUUUUCAUAAAAAUUUCUUUGGAACUAAUAAACUUAAAUGAACUAAAUACUUUUAAGUCGAUUCAAAGAAUGCAUGAUUUUUUUAAUGUUUAUAGCUCAUCUUGCAAUAAACAUUUAAGAAAUUAUGCGAUUACUUGAAUCAUUUUAAAAGUAGUACAUUUAUUUUUUUCUGUAAUCAAUAUCUGAUAAUAAUAAGAGUAAUAUUUAUAGUUUUACAUUAUAUAUACAAGUUAUAAUAAGCUAUUUUUGUAUGCCAAUGAUAUUUAGUUGCAUUAGUAGCGCGAUAUAACACUUAAGUAAGGUAUAAAAUAGAAAAGAACUAAAAAGGAAAUGGAAGAUAAAGGUAUAAAUUGUAAAAACCAUAUGAUAUAAGAUUAUCAUGUGCAUUAAAUUAAUGUGAAGAAAAAUAUAAGUUCAAAAAAUAAAUGCUUAUAAAUAAAAUUCUUUAAUUGUUU